RNAcentral lists this ribosomal RNA (497 nucleotides) under uncultured bacterium. Its description in RNAcentral is "partial 16S ribosomal RNA". It matches the Rfam family "Bacterial small subunit ribosomal RNA", at positions 28 to 507 of the family's 1533-position model. The record is from RNAcentral.
GAUGAACGCUGGCGGCGUGCCUAAUACAUGCAAGUCGAACGCAUAGCGAAAGGUGCUUGCACCUUUCAAGUGAGUGGCGAACGGGUGAGUAACACGUGGACAACCUGCCUCAAGGCUGGGGAUAACAUUUGGAAACAGAUGCUAAUACCGAAUAAAACUUAGUGUCGCAUGACACAAAGUUAAAAGGCGCUUCGGCGUCACCUAGAGAUGGAUCCGCGGUGCAUUAGUUAGUUGGUGGGGUAAAGGCCUACCAGGACAAUGAUGCAUAGCCGAGUUGAGAGACUGAUCGGCCACAUUGGGACUGAGACACGGCCCAAACUCCUACGGGAGGCUGCAGUAGGGAAUCUUCCACAAUGGGCGAAAGCCUGAUGGAGCAACGCCGCGUGUGUGAUGAAGGCUUUCGGGUCGUAAAGCACUGUUGUAUGGGAAGAACAGCUAGAAUAGGAAAUGAUUUUAGUUUGACGGUACCAGACCAGAAAGGGACGGCUAAAUACGUG